RNAcentral lists this ribosomal RNA (482 nucleotides) under Pseudomonas sp. Z1S-205. RNAcentral's name for it is "bacterial SSU rRNA". It matches the Rfam family "Bacterial small subunit ribosomal RNA", at positions 19 to 496 of the family's 1533-position model. Lineage: Bacteria; Pseudomonadati; Pseudomonadota; Gammaproteobacteria; Pseudomonadales; Pseudomonadaceae. The record is from RNAcentral.
CUGGCUCAGAUUGAACGCUGGCGGCAGGCCUAACACAUGCAAGUCGAGCGGAUGAGAGGAGCUUGCUCCUCGAUUCAGCGGCGGACGGGUGAGUAAUGCCUAGGAAUCUGCCUGGUAGUGGGGGACAACGUUUCGAAAGGAACGCUAAUACCGCAUACGUCCUACGGGAGAAAGCAGGGGACCUUCGGGCCUUGCGCUAUCAGAUGAGCCUAGGUCGGAUUAGCUAGUUGGUGAGGUAAUGGCUCACCAAGGCGACGAUCCGUAACUGGUCUGAGAGGAUGAUCAGUCACACUGGAACUGAGACACGGUCCAGACUCCUACGGGAGGCAGCAGUGGGGAAUAUUGGACAAUGGGCGAAAGCCUGAUCCAGCCAUGCCGCGUGUGUGAAGAAGGUCUUCGGAUUGUAAAGCACUUUAAGUUGGGAGGAAGGGUUGUUUCCUAAUACGAAGCAAUUUUGACGUUACCGACAGAAUAAGCACCGG